This 1993-nucleotide long non-coding RNA is filed under the name Sus scrofa (pig). RNAcentral's name for it is "lncRNA (ENSSSCG00040034904.1)". The record is from RNAcentral. Lineage: Eukaryota; Metazoa; Chordata; Mammalia; Artiodactyla; Suidae.
AUGGGGAGCACGAAGCGAGGCCUGGGGCGGGGCUUGGUCCUGGCGACGGGCUUGGAUUGGCGCGCUGCGGAUCUCCCUGCUGCCUUACAAGGCGGUGCGAGGCGAGCUAUUUUUAGAGGGCUAUAUAAGGGGGCUGAGGCUGCCGCCGGGCUGCCGGGUAACACGAGCGCGAGGGACGGGGAGGGUCGCGGCGACACUUGCGCUGGCUCCGGGGACGCCGAGGCGGCCGGGAUCGGGCUGCACGCCGGCCUCCGACCCUCGCUUUGGUGCCUAGCGGAGCCAGGGCGUUCGGAGCCGGUUCCCCUGAGAAGGGAAAGGGUCGCAUGUUGCCGUUCUGGCGUGGACGCGGCCGGUCAGGAGGCUGCCAGGGUGCAGAGAAGAAGCGCCAGAGGAGAAAGUGCCGCUCACAAUGGAGCAGAACAAAGGGGAGCGGAGCGCAGAGAGCAGCCUGUGCCCGCCCCGCGCCCGCACGCAGUCCCCGCCCCCCACGCCCCUUGGCGCCGCGGUGCGCCCCCCGCCCCCCAGCCUGUCCUGCCUUCUGACCCCGUGAAGGGGGAAUGCAGCCGGGGUCAGACCCCCAGUUAGCGCUGACUGGAAGGGGACACUUUACUGGAGUGUGUUAAAGACAAUAGAGGGAAGCUGGGUGGACGUGGGGUGCAGGCUGGAGCUGGCAACUUGCUCUGGUGUUAAAGGCAAGGCUCCCCAUGUGGCUUGGAGAGAGGAUGUCUACCUGCCCAAAGUGCGGUGGUGAGAGGAGAGGAACCGAAUUACUUUCUGAAGCUAUCAUAUAGAGUUUUAUCUAUAGAGACCCUGUUGUCUCUUAGGUGAAACCCUUGCACUACGCACGUUGUUGGGGUUGAACAGUUGUUUGCUUGACCUUAAGUGGUUAGUCGUUCAAGCUUCCCCAAAAUGCACUGAGAGCUGAACUUCCACUUCUGGAAUGAUUGCAGAAUUUGGUAUUUCUUCAGAGAUGAGAAACUUAAUUCACCCUGCAGUGGAAGAAACAUAUCCACCUUAAUCACCCUUCUCAGCUGUCUCGCCUUCUUACUAUGUGGAACUCCAUAUCUCAAUAUUUGAAAGAUUCUGUUUUAUAGAACAAACACCAUUUGAAAUUCAGUAUUUGUCAGGGGAAAUUAAACAGGAAUUAUUGAGUUGAGGACAAUCUAGUUUAUUUACUUUCUGAUGUCUGGGAUUCUGUUGGUCAGAUCUACCUGUAUAAUUGUGAAUUUACUGUAAAUGUAUGUGCAUGGACUACACAGAUCUUGGUGCAUUUAGUAUUAUACAUACAUAUUCAUGGUGCCAGGGGAUAAAUGGUAUAAAAAGGUUAAAAGUCCUACAUGAAUAAGGUGGUAUUACGAUAGCACACAUAUAACUGCCAGUAUAUGAGAAGACUGCCUGGGCCUUUCCCAGAGGUAGAAAAGCACUUAGAGCCAUCACAUCCCAAUGAAUGUGUUAACUUGCUCCUUAUGGUCAUCCCUACUGCCACUUCCUAGCCAUGAGACUUUAAGAAAAUUACUGGCUCAAACCCUCUGGGCUGUGCAUCUCAGAAACAGGAAUAGUGGUAUCUGCCUUGCCUGGUUAUUAUGAACAAUCAAAAUGUUAUAAAAUAAUGUUUGUAACUCACCUAGCAUAGUAUUUGGUACUAUUAGCUAAGUUCUAAAUGUUAGCCACCACAAUCUCCUGGCUUUAAGUAAAUUAAUAUCUAAACUAAUCAAACCCAUGGGGGUGAUGUACCAGUCUUAGAAGAAGGAGAUAGAAAUGUCUUGCCAAUUUGGAAUAGUUUCCCCUUCUCCCCCUCGACACGCUAUUCUGAUUGUGUGUGAGGACAGGGAGGAGGCCAUUGAGAAGUACUGGGGCAGGAGUCAUGCUUGUGAGUAAUAGCGGAAGGAAAGAAACUUCAAUGUAGGAAACUCGAGGCAAAAGCAAAGCAAGACAAAAGAAUAUAAUUUGAUGUUUGAGAUUCAAGUUAACUUAUUUUUUUGUUUUUGUGUUA